ACGGGAGGCAGCAGUGGGGAAUAUUGCACAAUGGGGGAAACCCUGAUGCAGCGAUGCCGCGUGGAGGAAGAAGGUUUUCGGAUUGUAAACUCCUGUCUUAAGGGACGAUAAUGACGGUACCUUAGGAGGAAGCUCCGGCUAACUACGUGCCAGCAGCCGCGGUAAUACGUAGGUGGCAAGCGUUGUCCGGAUUUACUGGGUGUAAAGGGUGCGCAGGCGGGACUGCAAGUUGGAUGUGAAAUACCGAGGCUCAACCUCGGAGCUGCAUCCAAAACUGUAGUUCUUGAGUGGAGUAGAGGUAAGCGGAAUUCCGAGUGUAGCGGUGAAAUGCGUAGAUAUUCGGAGGAACACCAGUGGCGAAGGCGGCUUACUGGGCUCUAACUGACGCUGAGGCACGAAAGUGUGGGUAGCAAACAGGAUUAGAUACCCUGGUA
Molecule: ribosomal RNA, 434 nt
Filed under: uncultured Ruminococcus sp.
Lineage: Bacteria; Bacillati; Bacillota; Clostridia; Eubacteriales; Oscillospiraceae
Description: partial 16S ribosomal RNA
Rfam family: Bacterial small subunit ribosomal RNA
Source: RNAcentral